UACGGAGGGUGCAAGCGUUGUUCGGAUUUAUUGGGCGUAAAGCGCGUGUAGGCGGUUUCUUAAGUCUGAUGUGAAAGCCCUGGGCUCAACCCAGGAAGUGCAUUGGAUACUGGGAGACUUGAAUACGGGAGAGGGUAGUGGAAUUCCUAGUGUAGGAGUGAAAUCCGUAGAUAUUAGGAGGAACACCGGUGGCGAAGGCGGCUACCUGGACCGAUAUUGACGCUGAGGUGCGAAAGCGUGGGGAGCAAACAGG
RNAcentral lists this ribosomal RNA (253 nucleotides) under uncultured bacterium. RNAcentral's name for it is "partial 16S ribosomal RNA". It matches the Rfam family "Bacterial small subunit ribosomal RNA", at positions 524 to 776 of the family's 1533-position model. The record is from RNAcentral.